This 509-nucleotide ribosomal RNA is filed under the name Fasciola gigantica. Its description in RNAcentral is "eukaryotic LSU rRNA". Lineage: Eukaryota; Metazoa; Platyhelminthes; Trematoda; Plagiorchiida; Fasciolidae. The record is from RNAcentral.
UCCUCUCCCAAAAACGUGGUAUAGCAACUGCAACUGCUUUGACAUCGACAUCUUGAACGCAUAUUGCGGCCAUGGGUUAGAUGGGGACGCUGUCGAGGGUCGGCUAAAACUAUACGAGAAAAAAGGAAGAGGUUGGGUUUUGCCAGCUGGCGUGAUCUCCUCUAUGAGUAAUCAUGUGAGGUGCCAGAUCUAUGGCGUUUCCCUAAUGUAUCCGGAUGCACCCUUGUCUUGGCAGAAAGCCGUGGUGAGGUGCAGUGGCGGAAUCGUGGUUUAAUAAUCGGGUUGGUACUCAGUUGUCAGUGUGUUUGGCGAUCCCCUAGUCGGCACACUCAUGAUUUCUGGGAUAAUUCCAUACCAGGCACGUUCCGUUACUGUUACUUUGUCAUUGGUUUGAUGCUGAACUUGGUCAUGUGUCUGAUGCUAUUUCAUAUAACGACGGUACCCCUCGUGGUCUGUCUUCCUGACCUCUGUUCAGACGUGAUUACCCGCUGAACUUAAGCAUUUCACUA